This is a long non-coding RNA of Hyaena hyaena (striped hyena), 377 nucleotides long. RefSeq lists it as uncharacterized. The record is from RefSeq and is a predicted model, not a curated record. The transcript is spliced from 2 exons. NCBI's taxonomy places the organism in Eukaryota, Metazoa, Chordata, Mammalia, Carnivora, Hyaenidae.
GGGUGCAGGGAGCCGGGCGUGCCGGAGUACGCCCCUGCCAGGUGAAACCGGAGAGCAUCCUAAUAGAUGCCCUCUCGAAGAACCUAGAAGAAACUGGAGGAACCUUCUAGAAUAUGUGUUUAAAUGAGCUCUGGGAACACUUACCACACGGGCGGCCUCUGAAAGCAAAGAUGGAAGCCUGGGGUUACGAAGAUCAAAACACAGACGUGACCAGGGGAAGGAAGCAGUGAGUGUCAGGCCAGGAUGGGGAGGUUGGAUCAUUUCUAGGGCUUCCGGAUUCUGGGCCUCACAGGCCUGCAGCCCCUUAUCAAUGUUUGAAGUUCCCGCAACAUCAAAUGCAGCUGAAAUGAAAGAAUUACAACAUUUGCCAAAGACAA